UAUGUGAUUUCAAAAAAGGUGAGUCCUA
Molecule: small RNA, 28 nt
Filed under: Bombyx mori (domestic silkworm)
Lineage: Eukaryota; Metazoa; Arthropoda; Insecta; Lepidoptera; Bombycidae
Description: ovarian small RNA-24032
Source: RNAcentral